This is a long non-coding RNA of Amphimedon queenslandica, 156 nucleotides long. RefSeq lists it as uncharacterized. The transcript has 2 exons. Lineage: Eukaryota; Metazoa; Porifera; Demospongiae; Haplosclerida; Niphatidae. The record is from RefSeq and is a predicted model, not a curated record.
UCACAUGUUGGAGAUUUUGGGAAAUUAAUUUCUCAGUAAUGUGUCUUAAGUUACAAAACAUGAAGUGUCUUGCUUGUGGAACAUUGGUAGACUAUGAUGAAGAAAACAAUUAUAAUCUUUUUUUUGGUUUUAAUAAUAAUUCCAAAUCAUUUUAAA